Molecule: transfer RNA, 73 nt
Filed under: Camelus bactrianus (Bactrian camel)
Lineage: Eukaryota; Metazoa; Chordata; Mammalia; Artiodactyla; Camelidae
Also listed under: 2 other names
Rfam family: tRNA
About the family: Transfer RNA (tRNA) molecules are approximately 80 nucleotides in length. Their secondary structure includes four short double-helical elements and three loops (D, anti-codon, and T loops).
Source: Rfam by way of RNAcentral
GAGGGUAUAGCUCAAGUGGUAGAGCGCAUGCUUGGCCUGCCCGAGGUUCUGGGUUCAAUUCCCAGUACCUUCU